Molecule: long non-coding RNA, 1752 nt
Organism: Girardinichthys multiradiatus
Lineage: Eukaryota; Metazoa; Chordata; Actinopteri; Cyprinodontiformes; Goodeidae
Exons: 3
Source: RefSeq, a predicted model, not a curated record
UUAUUUCUGCUGAAUAAAAUAAAUCCCACUAAUUAACAUGUUAACAUGAUUGAUGGGCUCUGAUUUUGCAGGGAGCAGAGAACGUCUGCGCUCGAGCCGCCCUGCAGCCGACUUCACAUAGACCAUAGGAGAAAAAGAAAAUCAAGUCUUUGGGAAAGAAGAGGAAAUGGAAAUAUGAAACAUGUCACACAAAGAUCUCUCUGUAUGUAUUCCAUCUUAUGGUGUGGCUGGAUAAUACCUGGCAUUCACAACAUGCAUCACAAAUGAUGUGAAACACAGUCUCUAAGGUUGAUGUCCUGCUUGAAGGUGAACCUCCUCCCCAAUCUCAAGUAAUUUCCAGCCUAUAACAGGCUUUCUUCUGGACCUGCCCUGUCUUUAGCUUCAUCCGUCUUCCUAGCAGUUCUGGCCAGCUUCCCUGUCCCCGUUGAAGAUAAGUCUUUCCUGACACUGCCACCACCAUGUAUUACCUGUAGAGUUAAGCGUCAUGAACUGUAUUAGAUUUUCAACAAAUAUAGUGUCUUUGCUAUGUCCCCUACAUGGGUUGUGGCAAACUUAAAAAAAGGCCUUCUUAUAGCUUUCUUUAACAAAUGCUUUCUUUUUACCAUUCCAUAAAGGGCCAGAUUUGCAAUAGUUUUCCUAUCAACAGAUUUUCCUCCCUGAAGCUCCUCCAGAGUUAUCUUGGGCCUCUUGGUUGGCUCUAUGAAUAAUGCUCUCCAUGCCAAGCUAACUAGUUUAGAUGGGUGGCCAUCUUUUGAUAGGUUGGCACUUGUGCCAUAGUCUAUCAAUUUUUAAUGCAGGAUUAAACAGUGCCCUAAGAUGUCCAAAGCAAGUGAUAUUGUUUAAUAACUUAAGUCUGCUUCUCUACAACUUUAUUGCUGAUCUGUCUGAUGUGUUUGUUAGACUCUGUGCUGCUCAACAGUGUUUUUGAACAAACACAGAUGAAGCCCAUUAAACUAAUUAGGUUUACCUCUGAAGGCUAUUAGCUGGGCAGGAUUUUUUAUGGAUAAUCAGAGUAACGGAGGCAGCAUGCAAAUUCCUGCCACACCUUUCAGCCUUAUAUUUGAAAAACAAGCUGUCAUUUUUCUUUAACUUCACAGUCAUACAAUACUUUGUGUUUGCUUGUCACAUAAACAGAGUAACUAGAAUAGAUAGCUUGUGGUUAUCAUGUGACACAAUGGGGAAGAGUUCCAGGAGUUUCACACCUGCAAGGCACUGUAUGUCUUCAAGUAGCACAUGUGUAUUAAAGAGUAAUAUAGAGAUGAAAAGAUACAAGUAUUUUAUAAAGAAUUUCCUAACUUUCUGUGGAAAGGUGUAGCAGCAUUUCUGCACACUGCUAUAAGUUAUGUUAGGGUUUCUAUUAAUAAAUUCACAUCAAGAUUACUUUGAGACUGUUCACACAAAAGCUGUCAUUGGGCCCUCAGUCUGUCUACCACCUUAACCAGGGAGAGGAACAACAGCUGGUCCUCUCAGCAGCUCCUUUCCAUUUCAACUUGAACAUUUAUCAUUCCACUUGCCCUUUGUUCCCUUUUUAAAUCUUUGUAUUUGUUUGCUCUUCUCAGUUUUACCACCUUAGUCUGGAGCCUUGCAAGCGGCAAACGUUGAAGUGAAUACGGAGGUUCCAAGCCUAGUAUUCCAUACGCACUUUUUUGCUUGCAGGCGUCAUUUUGUUCAAGAGCAAGCAACAAAUAUUGUUUUACAUUUACUUAAGCUGGAAAAUUGGACAUAUUCUUAUUCCCUGAAACAGUAACUGUC